AUACGGAAGGUGCGAGCGUUAUCCGGAAUCACUGGGUUUAAAGGGUGCGUAGGCGGCAUGAUAAGUCAGAGGUGAAAGCCCUCAGCUUAACUGAGGAAUUGCCUUUGAUACUGUUGUGCUUGAAAGGGGAUGAGGUGAGCGGAAUGUGGCAUGUAACGGUGAAAUGUGUAGAUAUGCCAUAGAACACCGAUUGCGAAGGCAGCUCACUGAGCCUACUUUGACGCUGAGGCACGAAAGCGUGGGGAGCGAACAGGAUUAGAAACCCUAGUAGUCC
Molecule: ribosomal RNA, 274 nt
Filed under: uncultured bacterium
Lineage: Bacteria
Description: partial 16S ribosomal RNA
Rfam family: Bacterial small subunit ribosomal RNA
Source: RNAcentral